Molecule: ribosomal RNA, 1430 nt
Filed under: uncultured organism
Description: SSU rRNA
Rfam family: Bacterial small subunit ribosomal RNA
Source: RNAcentral
UACAGGCUUAACACAUGCAAGUCGAGGGGUAGCAUUUCAGUUUGCUUGCAAACUGGAGAUGGCGACCGGCGCACGGGUGAGUAACACGUAUCCAACCUGCCGAUAACUCGGGGAUAGCCUUUCGAAAGAAAGAUUAAUACCCGAUGGCAUAAUUAGACCGCAUGGUCUUAUUAUUAAAGAAUUUCGGUUAUCGAUGGGGAUGCGUUCCAUUAGGCAGUUGGUGAGGUAACGGCUCACCAAACCUUCGAUGGAUAGGGGUUCUGAGAGGAAGGUCCCCCACAUUGGAACUGAGACACGGUCCAAACUCCUACGGGAGGCAGCAGUGAGGAAUAUUGGUCAAUGGGCGCAGGCCUGAACCAGCCAAGUAGCGUGAAGGAUGACUGCCCUAUGGGUUGUAAACUUCUUUUAUAUGGGAAUAAAGUUUUCCACGUGUGGAAUUUUGUAUGUACCAUAUGAAUAAGGAUCGGCUAACUCCGUGCCAGCAGCCGCGGUAAUACGGAGGAUCCGAGCGUUAUCCGGAUUUAUUGGGUUUAAAGGGAGCGUAGGUGGACAGUUAAGUCAGUUGUGAAAGUUUGCGGCUCAACCGUAAAAUUGCAGUUGAUACUGGCUGUCUUGAGUACAGUAGAGGUGGGCGGAAUUCGUGGUGUAGCGGUGAAAUGCUUAGAUAUCACGAAGAACUCCGAUUGCGAAGGCAGCUCACUGGACUGCAACUGACACUGAUGCUCGAAAGUGUGGGUAUCAAACAGGAUUAGAUACCCUGGUAGUCCACACAGUAAACGAUGAAUACUCGCUGUUUGCGAUAUACAGUAAGCGGCCAAGCGAAAGCAUUAAGUAUUCCACCUGGGGAGUACGCCGGCAACGGUGAAACUCAAAGGAAUUGACGGGGGCCCGCACAAGCGGAGGAACAUGUGGUUUAAUUCGAUGAUACGCGAGGAACCUUACCCGGGCUUAAAUUGCAUUUGAAUAUAUUGGAAACAGUAUAGCCGUAAGGCAAAUGUGAAGGUGCUGCAUGGUUGUCGUCAGCUCGUGCCGUGAGGUGUCGGCUUAAGUGCCAUAACGAGCGCAACCCUUAUCUUUAGUUACUAACAGGUCAUGCUGAGGACUCUAGAGAGACUGCCGUCGUAAGAUGUGAGGAAGGUGGGGAUGACGUCAAAUCAGCACGGCCCUUACGUCCGGGGCUACACACGUGUUACAAUGGGGGGUACAGAAGGCAGCUACCUGGUGACAGGAUGCUAAUCCCAAAAGCCUCUCUCAGUUCGGAUCGAAGUCUGCAACCCGACUUCGUGAAGCUGGAUUCGCUAGUAAUCGCGCAUCAGCCAUGGCGCGGUGAAUACGUUCCCGGGCCUUGUACACACCGCCCGUCAAGCCAUGAAAGCCGGGGGUACCUGAAGUACGUAACCGCAAGGAGCGUCCUAGGGUAAAACUGGAAA